AUAUAUAUAUAUAUAUAUAUAUAUGUAUAUGUGUGUGUGUGUGUGUGUGUGUAUAUACACACACACACAUACAUACU
RNAcentral lists this microRNA precursor (77 nucleotides) under Mustela putorius furo (domestic ferret). RNAcentral describes it as "miRNA (ENSMPUG00000023643.1)". The record is from RNAcentral. Lineage: Eukaryota; Metazoa; Chordata; Mammalia; Carnivora; Mustelidae.